UGGUGGCUGGGGUAAAGUUGCCUCCCAUUUUAGAGAAACAACUUAUAAUCACAUUCUCAGGUCCUUUGGGGAUCUAGAGUGGUGGGAUCAUGUUGCCCAUGAAGCUACGUUGGAGCUAAUAGGAGUGCUCCCUGUUGAGAAGGAGAUUUCAAAGUGAAGAAACAGAUUGAAAGAGUUCUGCUGUCAAGUGGCCUGUUGGAGAAAAGGGCAUGGAUGAUGAAAAUACAGAUGAGAAAAAGGGGAAUUGUUUCAGGCAUCAGAGAACACUG
RNAcentral lists this long non-coding RNA (269 nucleotides) under Homo sapiens (human). Its description in RNAcentral is "HSALNT0370299". The record is from RNAcentral. Lineage: Eukaryota; Metazoa; Chordata; Mammalia; Primates; Hominidae.